RNAcentral lists this unclassified non-coding RNA (221 nucleotides) under Hevea brasiliensis (rubber tree). The record is from RNAcentral. Lineage: Eukaryota; Viridiplantae; Streptophyta; Magnoliopsida; Malpighiales; Euphorbiaceae.
CUGGUGCUGGUGCUGGUGCUGGUGCUGCAGCAACUUGAGCAGCUUGACUGCAGCUGACCUUCCUCUUUGACUGAGACCUCCCUUUCUUUCCAUUCCCAUUGCUCAGGCUGGGGCUAAGGUUCUUCAGCUUAUCCUUCAAAUUCUCCACCUCCAAUUCCCUUGACUUCACCUCCCUCUUCAGCUCCUCCACCGCAGCCUCAUACGGCGCCACCACCUCCCUC